GUUCGACUAAAACCCCAGAGCAAAGGAAGUUCUUUUCUAAAACCCUAAAUUCACCAAAAUCCCUCAAAAUCAAAGAAGGAAUUUGAUUAAAGAUUAGUUACAAGCUAAAUUCGUGAUCACUCUAGUUAGGAGAUCACAAGGCAAAUUGGGCGAAUCGUCAAGUGGUCAAGGCGGAACGGAUACCCGCUUAAAGGGAAAGCUCUAAAGGUAACUACAACGAACUUUCGGAUGACGAUCAAGCUUGCGAGAGAACCGAACACACAUACAAAUGAAGCUUCCGCAUCUAUAUUAGUUCUUUUGUUACUAAAAACUUGUGUAAAACUUUUGUAAACAUCGUUUGAAUGUUUUGCACUUUAUGUAAAUGUCGUUACGCUGAUGUUUUUGAAAAAGGACAUUUUUGAUAUAUAAAUGCACACUAUAUUAUAUGAAAUAUUCAAUGUU
Long non-coding RNA from Helianthus annuus (common sunflower), 441 nucleotides. RefSeq lists it as uncharacterized. The record is from RefSeq and is a predicted model, not a curated record. The transcript is spliced from 3 exons. NCBI's taxonomy places the organism in Eukaryota, Viridiplantae, Streptophyta, Magnoliopsida, Asterales, Asteraceae.